UUUUCUUUGCAUUUGUGAGUUCAAUUGCUUAAGGAAUUCCAUUUCCAUCAUCAUCUUCUGGAAAUUUUGCCUUUGAACUAGCAUUGUUCUUUGAGCAAAGUAGCGUUAUCCUUGAGUAGCAGAAUAUUUUCACUCUUGGAGCAGAGGUUCUGAGUUUCACUUUGUUCCUACAAGUUGGUAAUGAAGUAAGGGAAGAUACCACUGCACUUUGUCUUGGAAACGUCUUGUAAUUAGGUGAAGCAAUUAUGAACAUUAUAUGAAAAGUUAGAAUUUCAAUCCCUGCCCUGGACUGAAAAUUGUUUUUGUUGCUUUUUCAUGACUUGUUUUAAGAGUGAAAGCUAUGUAGGCCUGGCUUCCCAGGGAAGGCUGGGCUCCUUCCACAAUAAAGUUAGAAGCUCCUGAAGAUACAAACAACCAUCUGUGGCAGUGUCCCAGUAUAGAGAUGAAUGAUCCAUCUGGCUUAGCUGGCAUUCUCUGAGGAAAGUAGAUGAACAAAGCCAUUUUUUAUUUGCCAUAUGCAGUAGAACCCAGAGUUGCUGGAGUAUACGUACCUGCCCAAUCGUUUUACUGUCCUACUAGGCAUCUACUCUCCAUGAGCUCAUGUGUCCUUUUGAGCCUGCUAUAUGCCUUCCACCACAAGCUCUGGUGGCACCGACUUGUGAAGGUUACCCCAGUGUGCACUGUUUUGUUACCUCCUGAAAUCCACCUCCUGCCAGAGUUUUUGGUCAUCCUUAGUUCUAACAGGCAGCAUUUUGUGAGCAGGAGUUAUGCAUUCAGUUUAUUCACCACACUGACUGCUUUGUUAUUCCCCAUUGUGUCCUCACCUUCCCCUGCCCUCUUUUGGACGUUAUCUAGCUUGUUCCGUAUGUUUUUGUACGUCCCCAGACAUGAAUGCCUACUACUUUAGUAUCAUUGCUGGCUUUGGUUUGCAGUGUCUGUUUCUUCAUAUGGGUAGCAGAGAUAAAUGCAAACGUAUUAACAUGGCAUAUAUGUUUUAAAAUGUUAAAGUAUAACAAUGAAUGUACACUUCUGACAUAUGCAUGUGUAACUUCUGUUAAUUAAAUGAAAGUUAUGUAUGUGUUCAAGGGACACUAUGUCCUAAAAAAUGUACUUUUAAGAAUUGUGGUCAGGAUGGCCGAGCUUUAUGAAAUUUCUAAGAAUAUGGACACGAUUUAUAUUGUCUAAUACCUCAAAUGAAAAUGGUCAUUUUUGUCAGGAUUUCUGCAUUUGCAUUCCUCAGCUCUCUGGGAGAUCUGUUUUGCUAGUGUGCAGCGCGAAGACUGCUUUUUCCUUGCGAAAGGCUACAAAGUUCCCUCCCUCCUGGCCUGUGCUCCUCAGCUCUUCCUAAGAGCUCAUCACAGGGUGCAGACUUCCCUUGCAUUGCGUGCAGCGUGCCUGCUGCAUGGGUGCACAUUUCCAUAGGGCUCCCAAAGCGUCUCGUCAGUGGUGACACAGGCAAUCUCAUUUACGUUUCCAACAUGUGGGUAAGUAAACAUUACCAUGAUGCUCCUACGAAUGAACUGAAAAUCUGCUUGUACUGUUUUGUGUCAAUUGAAAGCAGCCUGACUUUUGGUAAUGUUUGUGUUGUUCAGCGAGUUUGCAACAAGUGAGGGAGGCUGAAAGAAGAAGCUUUUAUUGAAUGACAAAACAAAGUGAUUUGUUCUAGCUAGUGUGAGGAGUAUCUACAGAUUGGAUCUGUUUUCUUGAAUUUCAGAGCUGAAUGUUUUUUUGUUGUUAUUUUCUCCGAUGGAAGUAUUGAUGGUGAACCCAUAUAUCUCUGGGAGCCUAUAAGGCUGGUGAGGUUUCUUCAGUAGGAUGCUGGCUUGGGGAGAUCGACCUUGUACGUGCAUGUCCCAGCUGCAGAGUAAAAUCACUGCUCUGACUCCCGGGUAAAAGAGAUGCAGAAGCCAGAGGGUGAUCUUUAGAAAGAAAUAUGGGCUGAGUCAGUCAGCACCCAAGACAAGGAGUCAUCGCUUUUACUUGUUUCUUACAGCAAGACUGACUGGAGCUAGAAUGCUUCAACGGAUGAAGUGUGAAAAUGAGUUUUAGAAUAACCUGCUAUGAUACAUGAACAAACAUGACUACUGUAGCUGGAACUAUCUGCUGUAUCUGAAACUACUGCAGCAGUUCAUCUGAUGUUCCAGAAACUUUAUCUUUUGUUCUGUAACGGAAACGUGCAAUAGAUAAAGAUAAAAAUAAAAAUAAAAAAACAAUCUGAGGCAAGUACAACAGGUAGGCUGCUACAGUGUUGAUGGAAAUAUAGUCAUUACAUUAAAUUAUGCAGAGCACUAAAGUAACCCAGGAACUGGAAUAUUAUUAAAAUUAUUCUUUAUACAUCUCCUUGCAAUGACUACAGUGUGAAAGGUGUUUGAUUUUUUGUAUUCUGAGCAGCUGCUGAUAUUGGAGAAGAAAGUGCCUGCUUUGUUUUCACUCUGCUGAUUCUUACUGUGUCCUCAUUGUGAUAAGAUGCUUGUAAGCCUAAAACUCUGGGAACACGUGAUAAAUUGACUCUGGGAGCUUUGAUGAUGCAUUUUGAUUUUUGCUAACCACAAAAGAUGGUCUGCUUAUCGGUGGCAAUUAGAGCAAGACUGGAAAAAAGAGAAACAAAACUAUUUUUACUGUUUAAGAAGAAAUAAAAAGACAAAGUUCAUUAGUCCCUGCACAGCUCACAAAUGUAUAGCUGGUAAGACAUCCUCUAAAACUCAAUGUCUUGUAGCAGCAAACGCACAAUGAAAGUAAAUACCAGUGGAUGGCUUUAUAUUUACUUCUUAUUCAGCAAUCUGUUAUAAAACCCUGUAACACUCUGUCUUCACUGGAAGAGGAAAUGAACGUUCACUUGUGUGAGCAAAGAAUAUAUGUAUUCUAAAGAACAUGGUUAAAAACUGAAGUUCAGCUUUCACUAUAUUCUUUUUCUUAUUUAUUUAUCAAUAUAAAGCAGGUCAAUCCUUUUAUGGUAAUAUGAGGCACUGGCUGUUUUAUGCUUCUGGUUACACAUAUUCUAUUAUUAGAUAUUCUGAUUACAAUCAUCUCCUGGUAAUCUCAAAGGGGAUCUGUCUGGUAACUAUAUCGUUCUUUAAGUAUUUAAGAUAUUUCAUCAUAUUCUUGUACUCAUUUAAUAAAUUCACGAAGCAGUGAGAGAGUAUAUUGAGAUAAUAUUAUUUGUUGUCGUUGCUCCUUUAAUCCCCUCUUUACUAAUGCUGCCCAAAAUUUCCUUUCCUUUUUUUUUUUUCUGAAUUUAGCAAGGGCUCCAGUUUUGGGACCUUGUAUUUCUGUUUACUUUGUGAAAUACCUGAAUACCUGUCUCUUUUAAGUAUGCUGCAAAAUAACAGUGGUAUUCUGUGACAUUAAAUGGCUUUGCAUCUUCACAGGAUUAUUUUAGCUGGGAUGAGCAGUCAUUAAUCAACUCUAGAGAAAAGAGCACUGGAAGAGUGAGUUUAAUAGAAGCAACUAAUGUGUGUGUGCUAUGGGAUUAAUGGAUAAAACAGAGGUUCCUCAGGCAGGGGGAAUCUCUGCCACUGGUGCACCUUCUUAGGAAAGCGUACCUCAGAAAUGAAACCUAAGUGCAUCUGGGGAGCAUGCUGAGGGAUCUCUUUCAACACCUUGACUCAGAAUCUGCAGAUCUGGUUGGUUUUGUUUCAGUCAGAGGAAGAUGUUUAUGCCUGGAUGUCUGUCUACCAUAUUGGUAGCUGUACUGCUCUUUUUGUGUAUCAUUUUGACAAUUUACCUACAUUUGCUAUGUCAGAAAUGGAUUGGGUUGGAUUAAUUUGCAUUAGAAGGCAAGGCUAAGAUUUACCAAAUAAUUAGUUUACAUUUGCUGUAUUAGCCUGUAACACUUUGUGACCAUUUCCUGUGCGAAAAUAGUUACUUUGUCAACUAUGUGGGUAAAGUAAUGACAAUUUAUGUAACUUAUUCUGACCAACCUCUUUCAUUGCUGGAAUUUUCUUCUAACUAGCUAACUAACCACUUGUGAUGGAAUUUAUGGAAACUCUCUAUCAAUCUAUCCAUCCAUAUAUUGAUAACAUAGUAAGUUCACAGUUUUAGAAAGCCAGAAUUGGUCAUGGUUUCUCUGUUUGUUGGUCUGGGGCUUGGCUGGGAGGAAGUGGUGGUUGUGUUAAGCACAGUGUAAGUCUCUGUAAAUUGGGUAUAUGUUGUCAGUAAUGCUGCAUAUAACUUUUAGUCUGUCAUUUCCCAUGCAAGUGUAUACGACUUACAACUAUGUGCUGAUUAGAAAUGGACAAGUAAUGUCAAAAUGUUAUCUGUGGACUGAAAAAGAGAAAUAGUGAAACCUUAAAAAAAGGGCUAUUUUUUACAAGCUUCCAGGUAAGUUGCUGCAUAACUCCUAUUGCCAGGUACAAACUACUUCUGCAUGGGACUGGUUUAAGAACAACUGUGCUCUAUUGUCACUUCAGAAAAAGGGAAUUGUGCUUUGAGGCUGGAUUUCAACUGAGGACACAGCGUCUCAUCUGCCUACAGAGGUUUUUUGCUUUAUUAUGACAAUAAUGUAUGCAAAUUAUGCAUAUAUUCUGAUUUGGGGUUAGGCAUGUCCCCUGGGCUCCUGCAUGGCUGGUGUCUUGCAGAGGUGAAUGCUUUUUAUCAUGAAAUACAGGUAAUUGGAUGUCACCAGUUGAACGACAGCUGUGUAUUUAAAUGUGACCUUAUAUCUAGUCAGUCUUGUAACCUGUGUUUUGAGUAUGGUAUUUAGGUAAAUGCCUUGCUUUGCUUGAGGAAUUGUUAAAAUGAGCAUCACAAGGAUAUCCUAACACAAUAAGUUGACUUGCAAUGUUGAGAUUUUACUCAUGGCCUUGUUUGGGCUGAUUUAACCAGCUGUAAACACGUGUAGACGGUGACUUGUAUGUAUUGUAUGCGUUGGUACAAGCCCAGCAGAACAAAGGCAAGACCUGCACGUGCAAAGUGGUGGUGAAGGCAGCUGCCAGAAGCUGUGAUACAGAAGCCAGUGAGGCUUUGUUUUUCUAGUUGAGCAAGGACCUGGGAAGAGACUUCAAAUUAGUAAGUGCAUCAUGUACAUGCCCAGAAGAACGUGGAGUCUGUUGUUAGACUACUAGGAUGUGGCUUUUAUUAGUUUUUUACUGUGUACUAAGGUUAUUUUGCUACAGGAGAGGAGGCUCCAAAUGUCAGAGCCGUGCCAUGUUUAUGCAGCCACAGUGAAUCACUGUUACUUUAUCCUUUGCUGCUUUGAGGUGUCACGUAGGUGUCAAGUCUCAUCCCGAAAAAGAUGCAAGAAUUCGGAAAGCGUAAGAAUGAGCAGAGACAGUGUCCUGCCAGUAGUUGCUGGAAGAAGAGGAGAAGGGAGCUGUACAAUAUUGACAUGUGAAGAUGCGCAAAGUCAUUACUGCUUCUCUGGCUGAUUGUAUUUAAUAAAGUUACUUUCACAAUAAUUGAAAAUUGUCUCACGAUCCCAUUUUCCAUCCUCAUAAACAUUGGUUUAUCUCCAUUUCAAAACCAACCUGUCUGUGUA
Long non-coding RNA from Numida meleagris (helmeted guineafowl), 5476 nucleotides. RefSeq lists it as uncharacterized. NCBI's taxonomy places the organism in Eukaryota, Metazoa, Chordata, Aves, Galliformes, Numididae. The transcript has 3 exons. The record is from RefSeq and is a predicted model, not a curated record.